RNAcentral lists this ribosomal RNA (382 nucleotides) under Vibrio sp. R-651. RNAcentral describes it as "bacterial SSU rRNA". It matches the Rfam family "Bacterial small subunit ribosomal RNA", at positions 302 to 676 of the family's 1533-position model. Lineage: Bacteria; Pseudomonadati; Pseudomonadota; Gammaproteobacteria; Vibrionales; Vibrionaceae. The record is from RNAcentral.
GAUCAGCCACACUGGAACUGAGACACGGUCCAGACUCCUACGGGAGGCAGCAGUGGGGAAUAUUGCACAAUGGGCGCAAGCCUGAUGCAGCCAUGCCGCGUGUGUGAAGAAGGCCUUCGGGUUGUAAAGCACUUUCAGUCGUGAGGAAGGUGGUAGUGUUAAUAGCACUAUCAUUUGACGUUAGCGACAGAAGAAGCACCGGCUAACUCCGUGCCAGCAGCCGCGGUAAUACGGAGGGUGCGAGCGUUAAUCGGAAUUACUGGGCGUAAAGCGCAUGCAGGUGGUUUGUUAAGUCAGAUGUGAAAGCCCGGGGCUCAACCUCGGAAUAGCAUUUGAAACUGGCAGACUAGAGUACUGUAGAGGGGGGUAGAAUUUCAGGUGU